GAUGAAGAACGCAGCGAAAUGCGAUAAGUAAUGUGAAUUGCAGAAUUCAGUGAAUCAUCGAAUCUUUGAACGCACAUUGCGCCCGCCAGUAUUCUGGCGGGCAUGCCUGUUCGAGCGUCAUUACAACCCUCAGGCCCCCGGGCCUGGCGUUGGGGAUCGGCGGAGCCCCCCGUGGGCACACGCCGUCCCCCAAAUGCAGUGGCGGUCCCGCCGCAGCUUCCAUCGCGUAGUAGCUAACACCUCGCGACUGGAGAGCGGCGCGGCCACGCCGUAAAACACCCAACUCUUCUGAAGUUGACCUCGAAUCAGGUAGGAAUACCCGCUGAACUUAAGCAUAUCAAUAAGCGUAGGA
This 352-nucleotide unclassified non-coding RNA is filed under the name soil metagenome. RNAcentral describes it as "partial contains 5.8S ribosomal RNA, internal transcribed spacer 2, and large subunit ribosomal RNA". The stretch from base 1 to 120 matches the Rfam family "5.8S ribosomal RNA", at positions 35 to 154 of the family's 154-position model. The record is from RNAcentral.